GAGCGGCCGCGGCGCCGGCUCCUUGGCUGGAGCGGAGCUGCCGGGCUCUGCCGCGCCGGUUCUGGCGCUGCGGAGCCCGGCGGCAGCGGUGCUCCCGCUCCUGUGCUGAGUGCAGCGGGUGCUCCGUCCUGUGUCCGCUUCUGGGCACCGUGCUACAGCAAGGACAUCGAGGGUUGGAGGCACUGGAACUGGCUGCCCACAGAAGUCGUGGAACCACCGUCCGUGGAGACUCACCAUGUCUGGAAUCUAAACUGAAGAGUGGUGACAUCAAACACUAAAGGAAUUUGGUCUGCUUUUCAGGAACAUUGAACUCCUUGCAGUGCAGGGUCUCUGGAGACCUUAAAAGGCAAAAAUUCUGCUUUGGGGCUUUUGACCACUUGUUCUGAGGUCUGGCCUAUUGUAAUUGUAUUUGGUUUUUACCUGAUGCUUCUUUCCAAAUGGUUAGUUCAAGAACAAAUAAAUUUUAGCUGUAAAGCA
Molecule: long non-coding RNA, 477 nt
Organism: Vidua chalybeata
Lineage: Eukaryota; Metazoa; Chordata; Aves; Passeriformes; Viduidae
Exons: 2
Source: RefSeq, a predicted model, not a curated record